GAUGAACGCUGGCGGCGUGCCUAAUACAUGCAAGUCGAGCGAACAGAUAAGGAGCUUGCUCCUUUGACGUUAGCGGCGGACGGGUGAGUAACACGUGGGUAACCUACCUAUAAGACUGGAAUAACUCCGGGAAACCGGGGCUAAUACCGGAUAACAUUUAGAACCGCAUGGUUCUAAAGUGAAAGAUGGUUUUGCUAUCACUUAUAGAUGGACCCGCGCCGUAUUAGCUAGUUGGUAAGGUAACGGCUUACCAAGGCAACGAUACGUAGCCGACCUGAGAGGGUGAUCGGCCACACUGGAACUGAGACACGGUCCAGACUCCUACGGGAGGCAGCAGUAGGGAAUCUUCCGCAAUGGGCGAAAGCCUGACGGAGCAACGCCGCGUGAGUGAUGAAGGUCUUCGGAUCGUAAAACUCUGUUAUUAGGGAAGAACAAAUGUGUAAGUAACUGUGCACGUCUUGACGGUACCUAAUCAGAAAGCCACGGCUAACUACGUG
RNAcentral lists this ribosomal RNA (497 nucleotides) under uncultured bacterium. RNAcentral's name for it is "partial 16S ribosomal RNA". It matches the Rfam family "Bacterial small subunit ribosomal RNA", at positions 28 to 507 of the family's 1533-position model. The record is from RNAcentral.